RNAcentral lists this transfer RNA (84 nucleotides) under Bacteroidales bacterium. Its description in RNAcentral is "tRNA-Leu". It matches the Rfam family "tRNA". Rfam says of the family: Transfer RNA (tRNA) molecules are approximately 80 nucleotides in length. Their secondary structure includes four short double-helical elements and three loops (D, anti-codon, and T loops). The record is from RNAcentral. Lineage: Bacteria; Pseudomonadati; Bacteroidota; Bacteroidia; Bacteroidales.
GCGCAGGUGGUGAAAUUGGUAUACACGCUACCUUGAGGUGGUAGUGCCGGAAACGGUGUGUGAGUUCGAGUCUCAUCCUGCGCA